Long non-coding RNA from Scylla paramamosain (green mud crab), 401 nucleotides. RefSeq lists it as uncharacterized. The transcript has 2 exons. The record is from RefSeq and is a predicted model, not a curated record. NCBI's taxonomy places the organism in Eukaryota, Metazoa, Arthropoda, Malacostraca, Decapoda, Portunidae.
UUGAAAUUUAAAGGAUGACUUAAGUAAACCUGCUUUCAUCACCAAGAUCAAGAGUAGUAUCGGAACAGCUGAUCUAAAUCUAAACAAACACGAGAACAGAGAAGGAAGACUAGGAUUACUGAGGGAAAUAAAGAGGAGUUCAGGAUACAAGAGAGAAAAGCAAGACUCCCUGGCAAGCAUAAGAAGUAACAUCACCACCCCAGUGAACAAGGAAGGGAAGGAAGGAAAGGAGAACAUCACCAUCACAAACAGGAAGGAGACAAGAAAGAGGAGGAAAGGGAAGAUGGAAUGAUGAAUAAAGAGGAAAAGGAAGAUGGAGUGAUGAACAAGGAGAAAGAAGAUAAAAAGGAGAGUAAAGGAUAACAGACUGAUGAACAAGGAGAAAGAAAAGGAAAACAAAA